UGGUGGAGUGAUUUGUCUGCUUAAUUGCGCUAACGAACGAGACCUCAGCCUGCUAACUAGUUAUGCGCUCCUCUGGAGCGUAGCCAACUUCUUAGAGGGACUAUCGGAGCCAAUCCGAUGGAAGUUUGAGGCAAUAACA
Molecule: ribosomal RNA, 139 nt
Filed under: uncultured eukaryote
Lineage: Eukaryota
Description: partial 18S ribosomal RNA
Rfam family: Eukaryotic small subunit ribosomal RNA
Source: RNAcentral